RNAcentral lists this ribosomal RNA (622 nucleotides) under Microbacterium sp. SSRS6-2. RNAcentral's name for it is "bacterial SSU rRNA". It matches the Rfam family "Bacterial small subunit ribosomal RNA", at positions 210 to 842 of the family's 1533-position model. Lineage: Bacteria; Bacillati; Actinomycetota; Actinomycetes; Micrococcales; Microbacteriaceae. The record is from RNAcentral.
UAACUUCGGUCAGGGAUGAGCUCGCGGCCUAUCAGCUAGUUGGUGAGGUAACGGCUCACCAAGGCGUCGACGGGUAGCCGGCCUGAGAGGGUGACCGGCCACACUGGGACUGAGACACGGCCCAGACUCCUACGGGAGGCAGCAGUGGGGAAUAUUGCACAAUGGGCGCAAGCCUGAUGCAGCAACGCCGCGUGAGGGACGACGGCCUUCGGGUUGUAAACCUCUUUUAGCAGGGAAGAAGCGAAAGUGACGGUACCUGCAGAAAAAGCACCGGCUAACUACGUGCCAGCAGCCGCGGUAAUACGUAGGGUGCAAGCGUUAUCCGGAAUUAUUGGGCGUAAAGAGCUCGUAGGCGGUUUGUCGCGUCUGCUGUGAAAUCCCGAGGCUCAACCUCGGGCCUGCAGUGGGUACGGGCAGACUAGAGUGCGGUAGGGGAGAUUGGAAUUCCUGGUGUAGCGGUGGAAUGCGCAGAUAUCAGGAGGAACACCGAUGGCGAAGGCAGAUCUCUGGGCCGUAACUGACGCUGAGGAGCGAAAGGGUGGGGAGCAAACAGGCUUAGAUACCCUGGUAGUCCACCCCGUAAACGUUGGGAACUAGUUGUGGGGUCCAUUCCACGGAUUCC